GACAAGAUUUUAUUAUUUUGCAGAUAAUACAAGCUACUAUUUUAGCCUUGCCUAAAA
Molecule: transfer RNA, 57 nt
Filed under: Endeis sp. JZ-2022
Lineage: Eukaryota; Metazoa; Arthropoda; Pycnogonida; Pantopoda; Endeidae
Description: tRNA-Ala
Source: RNAcentral